RNAcentral lists this ribosomal RNA (497 nucleotides) under uncultured bacterium. RNAcentral describes it as "partial 16S ribosomal RNA". It matches the Rfam family "Bacterial small subunit ribosomal RNA", at positions 28 to 507 of the family's 1533-position model. The record is from RNAcentral.
GAUGAACGCUGGCGGCGUGCCUAAUACAUGCAAGUCGAGCGAACAGAUGAGGAGCUUGCUCCUCUGACGUUAGCGGCGGACGGGUGAGUCACACGUGGAUAACCUACCUAUAAGACUGGGAUAACUUCGGGACUCCGGCGCUAAUACCGGAUAAUAUAUUGCACCGCAUGGUUCAUUAGUGAAAGUCGGUUUUGCUGUAACUUAUAGAUGGAUCCGCGCCGCAUUAGCUAGUUGGUAAGGUAACGGCUUAUCAAGGCAACGAUGCGUAGCCGACCUGAGAGGGUGGUCGGCCGCCCGGGAGGGUGGCCACGGUCCAUGGGCCUGCGGGAGGCAGCAGUAGGGAAUCGGCCGCAGUAGGCGAGAGCCUUACGCAGCAACGCCACGUGAGUUAUGAAGGUCUUGGGAGCGUGAAACUCGGUUAUUAGGGAAGAACCAAUGUGUAAGUAACUAUGCACGUCUUGACGGUACUUAGUCAGAAAGCCACGGCUAACUACGUG